GCGCAGGGAGUCGGGACCCGGGCCGCCACCGUCACCUCGGCCGCGGCCGCCGCCAUCACCUUGUUUCCCCGUUCCCCGCCAUGGCCGAGGAACUCUCUGCGGCCACGUCCUACACCGAAAAUGAUUUCUACUGCCCCAUCUGUCAGGAGGUGCUCAAGACACCGGUGCGGACUGCGGCCUGUCAGCACGUUUUCUGUAGAAAAUGUUUCCUGACAGCAAUGAGAGAAAGUGGAAUACACUGUCCCUUGUGUCGUGGAAAUGUGACUAGAAGAGAGAGAGCAUGUCCUGAACGGGCCUUAGACCUUGAAGAUAUCAUGAGAAAGUUUUCUGGUAGCUGCAGAUGCUGUGCAAAACAGAUUAAAUUCUAUCGCAUGAGACAUCAUUACAAAUCUUGUAAGAAGUAUCAGGAUGAAUAUGGCGUUUCUUCUAUCAUUCCAAACUUUCAGAUCUCUCAAGAUUCGGUAGGGAACAGUAAUAGAAGUGAAACAUCCACAUCUGAUAACACAGAAAGUUACCAAGAGAAUACAAGUUCUGGGCAUCCCACCUUUAAGUGUCCCCUGUGUCAAGAAUCAAAUUUUACCAGACAGCGUUUACUGGAUCACUGUAACAGUAAUCACCUAUUUCAGAUAGUUCCUGUGACAUGUCCUAUUUGUGUGUCUCUUCCUUGGGGAGAUCCUAGCCAGAUUACUAGAAAUUUUGUUAGUCAUCUAAAUCAAAGACAUCGGUUUGAUUAUGGAGAAUUCGUGAAUCUUCAACUAGAUUAGGAAACCCAGUAUCAAACUGCUGUUGAAGAAUCUUUUCAAGUAAACAUCUGAAGGCUGUUAUACAUCUCCACAUCUUUGCCAUCUUUAAGGGGAAAACUACAUGAAGUCACUGUUUCAAUAACUUGAUGUGUAUAUUAAUAAAAGUAAUUCAGUCUAUUGUUAUAGUCUUUUGAUUGAAAAAUAAAGGUAGGCCAUCUAAAAACUUCAUCGUCUUGAUAAGUUAAAAAUGAAAGUUAUGACAUUAGCUUUAAAAGCAAAAAUGGAUUAUAUUUCACUAAUGUAAUGGUGAAAAGGGAAACCCUGUUGUACUUUUUCUUUUUUUAUAUUACAUAUUCUUGAAUUUUUCAUUAUGUUGCUUUUGAAAUUUGGUACAUUUCCUCUCAUUUACUUUAUUGUACACAGAUAACACACAGUAGCAAAUUCUGAAAGAUGUGAUUGAUAUAAACCUAACAAAUCUGAGCCAAUUGUCAGAGUCACAGAAUAGAAACUUGAAGUACUAAAUGG
This is a non-coding RNA of Microcebus murinus (gray mouse lemur), 1268 nucleotides long. The record is from RefSeq and is a predicted model, not a curated record. Lineage: Eukaryota; Metazoa; Chordata; Mammalia; Primates; Cheirogaleidae.